RNAcentral lists this non-coding RNA (85 nucleotides) under Pseudomonas asplenii. Lineage: Bacteria; Pseudomonadati; Pseudomonadota; Gammaproteobacteria; Pseudomonadales; Pseudomonadaceae. The record is from RNAcentral.
CGUUAUGACGAGCUGUGCGCAGGAGGCUUCGGCCUGCCGGAACCUUCUUCCCGGUCUGCAAACCUGCGUUCAGCUCGUCACCUUU